Molecule: long non-coding RNA, 10486 nt
Filed under: Setaria viridis
Lineage: Eukaryota; Viridiplantae; Streptophyta; Magnoliopsida; Poales; Poaceae
Description: long non-coding RNA (SVIR_LNC002608)
Source: RNAcentral
GACCAUGGGGUGAGAGGGAAGUGAAUUCUCCACUUCAAUUCACACCCAAGCGUCUCGUAGCCAUGGCGUUUCAGACUGGUAGAGUCAUUGUGACAUUAGGUUUCACCUAUGUUGAUGUAGCAGGCAAGAGGCACACUAUUGGCUUAGUUGGCGGUGACCGUGGGAAAAAUACUGCCGUAAGUGAACUCUAAAUUCUGCAGAGGUUGUCUUUAAUUUGUGGGUGUUGCGAAUUUGCUACCCUGUUUUUCAAUGUUUGUCCUGCUCGGCAUCAUGUUUUAACAUGAGGCAUCAGUGGAACCUUGCAAGCAAGCUGGUAUGCUUGUUCAAUCUUGUGAGAGGUAUACUAACCAGUAUAAUCUUAGUUUUCCUUUCCUUUUUCCUUUUUUCCCCGUGCAGAUCAAGUUUGCACCAACGGAGUAUGUAACUGAAUUCGCUGGAUCAACCAUUGUUGACACCGAUGGAACAUCUGCUGUGAAGUAUCUCAGGAUUCAAACAAACUUAAAAACAUAUGAGAUAAAUGAAAAAGGGUCGAGCGCUUCAGAUACGGAACAUCCUUUUAGAGUCCCUCUGCCAGAGAAUUCUACCAUUGUGGGAUUCUUUGGACGUCAACAUAUUGUUAAAGGACAUGUAUAUUCAAUUGGGAUUUAUGUGAAUUCCACAACACAGGAAAGCCAAGACACUUCUCCCCCAGAUAUAUCUGUUCCUGUGUUCAUUUUAUACUCAUUUAGACCCUGCAUAUCCGUCUGUAAUAUAAUUUGCAGGUUGUUCCCCUUGGAGCUUGGGGUGGGGAUGGAGGUGAAGCAUUUGAUGUCUCGGCGCCACCCUUGCGCCUUGAAAGCAUGACUAUUCGUGCUGGCAACACUGUUGAUGCAUUUGGGUUUUCCUAUGUUGACGAAGCAGGGCGGAGGCACAUCAGAGGUCCAUCUGGUGGUACCGGUGGCCAACUUACAACAGUGAGUAACCUCUAAAAUACCCUCAAGUCAUCUUAGCUAAACUUAAUGGGCAAUGUGAAUUAGCUACCGAAACUGCAUGCAGAUCAGGCUCGCACCAACGGAGUUUGUGAAUAGCAUUUCUGGAACCAUUGGUCGGUCUUUUGGUUCCCAAUCAAGAUCGUUAGUGGCAUCGCUACAGAUUGGAACGAACGUCAGAACGUAUGGGCCAUACGGAAGAAGGAACCCCGGCGACGAUCCAUUCAGCAUCCCGUUGCCGGAGAAUUUUUGCGUCGUGGGAUUUUGGGGACGUGCUGGGAAUCUUCUUGACGCCAUUGGUGUUUACAUAGGUCAGAGAAAAUCCGUCAUCCCGAGACCCAUCCCUAUUGCAUAUGAUGAAGAAACCUCAGGUAACAAAGAUGAAGAAUCCUACCCACUACAGCCCACCAUCACUGGACAGGUAUUGUGCCCCUUUGUUCGUCAUUACAUACCUUGUUAGAGCCCGAUAUUCACUGUUCAUACCUUAGCUCUAUACGUGCAACUUUCUCUUUGAAAAAAAAUGCUGCCUCAUCUAUAACUUACAGACCCCUCCUAUCAAGAUUGGAAUGUGGGGUGGGGGUUUUGCGGCGGGGUUUGAUGUCCCAGUCGGAGCGCCACCUAAGCGCCUCGACAGUGUGAUGAUUCGAGUUGGUGAAAUCAUUGAUGCAUUUGGCUUUUCCUAUACUGAUCAAUCUGGUGAGAAGUUCACUCGAGGUCCAUAUGGUGGGAGUGGUGGGAGUCUUACCACGGUGAGUGAACUUUGCAGGCUGUAGGUCUCUCUUUGCAUAUGUGAAAUUAAAGCUGCUAAACCCAGUGAGGAUUGUGGGUUAGCUGCCUUACCUUUGGCAUGUUUAAUUUCUUCCUGCAGAUCCAGCUUGAACCAUCAGAGUAUGUGAAGAAUGUCUCUGGAACAACUGGUACUUGGGAUGGAUAUCCGGUUGUAGCGUCCCUAACUAUUGAAACCAACUUCCGGGUGUAUGGGCCAUAUGGAAAAGCGCAGGACAUGCAUUUCAGAGUUCCCCUCCCCGAGAAUGCUUGCGUUGUGGGAUUCUUUGGAAUGUAUGAAACCAACCAUCUUGAUGCAAUUGGCGUUUACGUGAGUGGUUGCGUCCCAAACUAGUCUGAGCAGGGCCCGAGAAGGCACCUCAAAUAAACCAGGACCUUCGUCCUCAGCGAGUUCAGCUUUCCAGUGUGUUUCAGUCAAAAUAAGAUGAUCAUAUCAUCAUGAGCGUGGUCUGCGUUUGCCACUGCAAGGGUAGUCCUAAUAAUCCCUUGUUGCCAACAUUGUAAUGCGAGUGUUCUUUUUUCUUCAUGUAUGAGAGUGGUUAUGUUGUCACCUAUGGUGUGGAAUAAAUUUUCUAUGGGAUUAUCUCUUUUGGAUGCAGAAAAUUUGAUAAUGUCCAUACGUUUUUGUAAAAGUUCAUCUUACUGCUAUUAAUUAGAGUCUUCUUUUGUUACCUCAUCAGUUGCAGUAAUAGCCAUUGGAUUUAUUUUAUUUUCUAAAUAGUUACACACACCUACCGUUACGAAAAUAGUAUAAAUUAAUCCCCUAAAUCCGUAUCUAAAUUAAUGCCAUAGUUGAUCACUGCCCUGAGAAUGGUAUGAGGCGUUAUCAGCACAUGAACAAAGAACAUGAGGCGAAAACCAAAGACAAUGACCAUAGUAGCUUAGCCAGAUCUUCGAGCAUAGCGGCAAGGUCGAUCUACCUGCAUGAGACCAAAAAUCUGACGCAAUACAAGACAACCCAAUCCAAGAAAACACAGAAGCGCAUCUGCCUGAUAAUCAGGUCAGGGCACUCCCUGUUGGCUUGGGCAGACCUUAUAAGGAGAUCUGCUGUCAUUGAGAUCAAGGGAGAUGUGCAACCCACACAAGGAUUGCGAGCCAAGGCGAGCCAAGGAGAUAUGACCACAAUGGAGGUACCUUUUACUUUUGAUCAUUGGAUUUGAACAUACCAGAGGUUCCUUUAGUUCAAGAGCUGUAACACACCUGUUCCUUUCUCUUAGUAGUGUGACAAUUUCUAGCUAUUUGCCUCCAUUUCUAUUUAAUGUGGUAAUAGCUUAUACUUUUGAAAUUAUUAAGAUACUACAUUUAGUAUUAUAUAUGCUAGUUACCAUUUCAACCAGUAUAUCAGCAUGACCUAGGUCUGUAUUGUGCAUAUGAUAGAGUUAAUAAUUGAGUUACUAAAGUGCAUGCAAGUUUGAUACUCUAUGAUUUUUAGAAGGCCAUAAUAUGUUUCUUACCCGAACAAUUAAUAAAAUGGUCUCAAAAAUCCAUCGAAGUAUUUUUUUUCAACCUUUUUUAGCAAUGAUAUAUCCAAACCAGCUGAUCAGUUCACCCCAAAUGAUUGUGAGAUGAUAUCUACACCAUACUAAUUAUUUAAGCAUUAUAUUAAGAUUUUUCCUUAAUUAUAUAUUCUAAUGAUUGAAAACAAUGGAAGCAUAUAAUACAGGUUUAAACCUAGAAAAUGUCAAAACGCAUUAAAAUAAUCUGAAUAUGUUGAAAUUGUGUUAAUAAGCUAAUGUUAAUGGAAGGGAGAGGAAGAGGCCAGUGCAUUAUAUCAGAACUGAACAACAUGAUCUGUAUCCACACUAUCCAGACAAUAAUUCUUCGAUAAUCCAAACUUAAAUAAUCAGUACCACAAUAGGAUUUCUCCGCUGUCUUUUCGAUAGGUCACGUCACUGUGGCACCAAUGUCCUUUGUUUACCAAGUGUCGCUGUGGCGUUUACUGUUUUCCGCAUACAAGCCAACUAAUAGGAGAGAAGCAUCAGACAUGAGUGGGUGCUAAGCCAACUAAUCCGAUUCGGCUAUGGAUUCGACGCCAAAUAUAAUAUAUAUGAAACGUCAUAUCCAUUAUUGCCGAUCAUUUGGGGCGGUGCAGUUGCAUGGAUAAACACAUGUCCUCUCUACUCAUAGUGCAUGUGCCGCUUUCCUUUGUGCUAGCUGGUGGGCAGAACGAAAUAGCAUGAAGGUCAAUGAUGCAAAAUAAUCGACAGACGACGACAGUACAAGCUUCAGAUAGGUCAGAACCUCAAGAUUGUCAAGUUACUACUAAUUUGGACAGCUCGUUCCAUGUGACAUCACAUUCUCGCCAAUGGAGAUUAACUUUUGGUGAGAGAUGCGCGUGAUGGAACUGGGAGAGGCUUUUGGCCACUGAUGCCGCCAUGCAUGAUGCAUGGGACCCGUGAAGAGGGCUGCUUAAUAAUGCUGAUGCAUACUCCAUGCAUGUCUUGGAUGUUCGAAGAUGUUGAGUUGACGAAUGCAUGAGGUAGUAUUGUCGAUAAUGCCAGCUGCCAGGGAAGUGGCAAUUAUCAGAAAAUGGAGACAAUAACAAAAGAGUUGCUUUAUUAAUUAAAGACACUUUCAUGAAUUGAAUUUUUAUUAGGUUAUGGAAAUAUGUUAGUAAUCAUAGGCAAAAACAAUGUCAAAAUUAAAAAAAAUAUCGUAUUUUACAUGUGUUCUAUAUGUACCCACUCGCCCCCUUGGAGUUCCAAAUACAUGGGUACGGCUAAUGUAGUAAAUGAAAUGGAAUGACCCCUCCAUUAUUAAUAUAAUUAACUUUUAAAAGUUGCUUAAUCUCAAUGCAUUACUAAUAACCACAAAAAUAUAUAUUGGAGGAAGGCAUGAGAAAUAUGCUCGUGUCAGUAAAGUCGUAUAAUACAUUUCAAUGCAAACAAAAAAAAAACGAAUGGUCCAAUAAAUUCUACUGCAUAUAUAGCGAAUAUUCAUGUAAGAACUCAAUAUUCGGCCAGGACCUCAAAAAUCAGCAAAUAUAUAUGCCUAAAUGCUCAGAUUAUUAAGCCUCUCCCGCGUCAGUUCGCCGAAUUGGAUAAGACACCGAGCAGAUGCCUCUCUCCCAAUUGUACGUUUGGGUUCGUACAAUAAUGUCUACUAUAUAGAUGAGCCCCUUUGUUGGAAUAGUAGUGGUUUUGUCACAUUGCCACCCAAAAAAAAAACUGCAGCGUUGUCUGAUGCGAUCUGUUUUGGCACAUGGCACUGGUGUAGGCGGGUUUAAGGCUUAACUUUGACAGACCCAAUAAUCAUGGAACUUGGCAAAGAUUGCAUGCAUAGUCAUAAUAAAAACUCGAAGAGAUUCUAAGUGGUAAGACACUCACGCGGGUGAAAGGAAUUAACCAAGAGAUUCUCACUUCUUGUCAAAUGAGUUAAGAACGGUUUCGGACUAAAUUUUGGAAUGGCACCUACUUGAGUAAUUCCCACUAAGUUAGGAAUAAUAUUUGACACAAUAUGUGACAAUGUGGUAGAAGUCGUACCACUAAACCCCUACUCAUGCAGAUAGUACUGUUUGACUCCAAUUAUUGGAAAACUUAUCUCUUAUACCAUCUCCUAGACAUACGAGCUAGCAUCUAACACUCUAAUCAUUGGAGAGUAGGCUUAUUGUAGUUCACCGUUUACUCUCACUCUGUCAUCAAUAUCAAAGAGGUUCCUGUUGUUCACCAUUUACUCUCACUCUCACCCGAGCGCGACUAUGCGUUGUAGACGCGCCGCUGUGUUGCCUUCAGCGAGCACACAGCCCAGGACCGCCGCUGGCCCACAACCACACCACCACCACCUUCCUCCCUGCAUGCCCUCGCCCCGCCCUCCUGCAUCGUCGCCGGCGACCCUCCCCCCGUGCGCUAACCCGGCUCCGCCGCGACUCCCCCGCUGCCUUCCUCCUCCAGCUCCGGCGGUGUUGACAGCAGUUAGCGCGCCAAUUUGUAAACCACAAGUGCAUGGAUCAGUUGUAGCUCCCUUAGAGUAUUCCCCCAAGGUUUAUCAAUCCGUGGAACAAGUGGAUUGCUGGCUCUCACUUUAUACCAAUCUUGCUAACGAAACUGGGUGUAUGUAUUGUGUAGAAAGACAAACUAAACUAAUAACAAAGAUUGAGGCAAUAUAGCAAAGGUUGACACAAGAUAGGAGAUAGAGAUAGAUAUAAGUGUUCCCUCCCUAGAAUCUAGGUUCACAAGAAUAUGCAUCUACUACAAAGAUGGGUGCUACCCUCACUAUCUGUCACAGCGGUUACGUGCUCGCUCAGCCUUUUUCCCACUGCAUAUUGUCACUAUGCAGGGAUAAUCAAUCACCUCGCUCACACACACUAUAUUUCGCAGAGUUAUGCUAAUCACCACGAUUACCAGAAACUCUACUAAGAACAUAUGUUGUACAUGAUAGAGAUCUCACAUAUGUAAACGAAGCAUUGCAACGACAUAGACUACGAUGCAUUAAUCAACAUAAAGAACAUGUAGUAGUUACAUAUCAAGGACCAUAUCAACCCUAGGGAUGAACAGAGGCUUUACCCUAUGAUCUUACACAUGUUGACGAGUAAAGGGGGUAAGGAGCACCUGGAGAACACCCUGACCGAAGACGAAGACGAGGGGAGGCGCGAGGGACUCAGACCGAUUAGCCUGAACCACCCUAGGCUGAUCGGCCUAGGGGUUUCCUCCCUUCUGUGGAGGUCCCCUUCGAUGAUGAAGCUCCUGAUCAGAUCUAAUCUCUAUUUCUUCUCUUGUGGCGGUAGUGGCGGCUAGGUCUAAACUCGUCAGGAUUCCGCCUCCUUGUUGAAAGUCUUGGGUAUUUAUAGUUGGUGGCGUCGGUUGGGGUGCCUUCGAAGCUAAGUUUCUGAAAAAUAACCCCAGGAAUGUCGUGGGCAACCGCGACGAUCAGGGCCAAAAACAGGCUAGGCCGAUCGUCCUGGACCCUUGUAGGCUGAUCGGCCUGCCUUGUUUUGGCCUCCAAUGCCCGGGCGCUUCGUACAAAAGUUGUAGAUCUCCUCGAGCCAUGCAAUUUUCCCUAUAAAUUUGCCCCAAUCAAAGUUUGGAUCAGAAAGAUAUGGCCUAUGCAAGUUUCAGCUCCUCCUGCGGACCUGCAGUUCAAUGUUCAUGUUUGGGCCUUCCAUUAUCCAAAGUCCGGACCCAAUUCCAACUUGUAAAAAACACUUCAAUUAUGUUAUAUUUCAUGUGAUUUUGCAAUAUGCUCCAAAAUACAACACGCAUGCAAUAAUGGGGUUAUUUCAAGUGCCAAGUGGCGGGUUAGUAUAAUCAUAUGCAUGAAAACACUACUUAAAUGGCACUAAAAGUGUGUAAAUAACGAGCGUCAACAGGUGGCUCCUGCCACCGCAUCCGCCACCGCCACCCUAACCUAGCUUCGUCGGGGAGCUUACCUCCAACCCUUGCCCCUGCCCGUCCCUAGCCCACCGAUUGUCCAGCCGCCGACCCCAACCGGCGGUGUCCCCGCCACCGCGCCGCAUCGCCCCGCAACCCGUCUCUACCGCCAGGCCUACCUGUGGCCCCCACUCCCCCUUUCUAAGGUCAACGGCGAUUAGGGCUCCCCCGACAGCCCUAAACCCGAAGCUCGAAGCCCUAACACCGAUAGCGGCGGCGACCCGAAGCCCUAACAGGAGAGGAGGGAGGCGGGGGAGAGGAGGAAGGCGGAGGGCUGUCGGACGGAGGGAGAGGAAGAAGGUGGGGGAGAGGAGAAAGGCCGGCUGUCGAAUGGAGGGAGAGGAGGAAGAGAGAGCUGACAGGUGGGUCCCUCAUAUAUGACAGAUUGUUAUCUGUCGCAUAUGCGAUAUAUAGUCGUGGCGCUCUCACCCAGCAUCGUAAAUAUACCUCAUAAAUUUAGAGUCUCUAAGUCUGGUGCAGUCACUUGUUGGAAUAGUUGUGGCGCCCUUUACCAUCAUGUCUCCAUAAACAAACAAGGGACACAUUCUACAGUGCCAUGCGUGAUAUGCCUAGGUAGCCACAUGCGCUAAUUAGCUUAGAGAUUAUUCGUUCACACCAAACUUUGACAUGCCUAUUCAUUGAAGAAAUAACGGAAAACCCAAUGAUCACCGUACUCGAUAGAAGUACCUGUAUAGCAAUAGUGUUCCUUUUGUCGUCCUGCUCAUCUCACUGGAGUACGGUGUCAGUGAGACACGCAAGCUUCAGUACUAUCUGCACAUGCAUACAUGCCAAACGGACAACAGGGAAACUAGAAAAAUUACUACGUAGUCAAGAAUCUUCACUUUCUUCGUUUCAAAAAAAAAAAAGAAUCUUCACUUUUCAUUCAACAUAAUUCACAUGUAGUAGCUAGGUGGGGUGACAAUUCUUAUAGACAGUUGCUACAUAUCACCUCUCUUAAUUAUAAGACGUGAGAAGGAUAUGAUGUUAAACAUAAAGCAUAGAAGCAUGCAUGAUCGAUUGUUUCAUGAUCUCUUCCAUAAUUGCAUGAUAUAUAGCCAUCAUAUUUCUUAGAUAAUGUGUUCAAGCCUCUACACGAAAUAAUGCAUGCAGCCUGGUUUGUAAUCAGUAAUAAGCAAGCGGCAAUGAUACCCAUGAGUAUCACUGCCGGUUUUUUACAAGAACCGCAGUGAUGAGCUUCUUUAUUCUUGAAGAUGUUCAUACUACUCGUGAUACUUGAGAUGCCUACAACGCUGAUCCACAUGAGGAGAGUAAUCCAGUGCAAAUUAAUCCAUUAUAAUAAUUAAAUAUACACGUGACAUUUUCCUAACUAGCUCGCUACCACUCUAUAAAUGCAACCUGCUUCCUUCCAUUCUUCCGCACGCAGGCACAACAGCACAACCACGCAACAAACCAAGUAGACAAAAGCUACUUCGAUCUUCCCUGCGACCACCCAUCAUGGAUAGAAUUAGAGAGGUACAUAUACUUUGAACACUGAGCAUAUGCAGAUCCUGAUCGAUUGAAUUAGUUGUGUUUGGUCACCGUAAAAUGUUCUAAUUCAAAAUCUCUCAAAUUUGCAGACCCUUCCCAUCAAGGUUGGACCAUGGGGUGGGAGUGAAGCGAAUCCAUUUGACAUCACAGAGGAACCCAAGCGUCUCGAAAGCGUGACGGUUCGGUCUGGCGCUGUCAUUAAUUCAUUUGGUUUUACCUAUGUUGAUCUAGCAGGCCAGAAGCACACCGUUGGCCCAGUUGGAGGUAACGGUGGGAAGCUUACUACGGUAAGUGAAACUCUAAACUGUGUAGUAUUGCCUUUCUUUUUUCUCAUGUAUUCUAUCGUUUUAUUUUUUCUUUUCAUUUUUCCCAUGCAGAUCCAGUUUGCACCAACGGAGUACGUGAAGGGAUUCGGUGGAUCCGUUGGUCCGACACAAGGAACAUGGGUUGUGACGUGUCUCAAUAUUGAAACAAACCUAAGAACACACGAGAUAUAUGACCAAGGGAACAUGUUUCUAUCUCUGCCAGGGAAGGUUCCUUUUGGCGUUCCCUCGCCAGGGAAGGAAAUUCCUUUUAGCAUCCCUCUGCCAGAGGACACUAGCAUUGUGGGAUUCUUUGGACGUGCAGGGGCUAAUCUUGAAGCCAUCGGCGUUUAUGUGAAAUCGACAAACAUAGACACAAUAGAAGAAACCACAAGUAACCUGGACACUUGUUCCCCGGAUGAACCGAUCAUCAUUGCCGAGGUGAUGCAUACUUAUUAGCUCAUUUCCUACCUUGCUUGUUCUCCUUUCUAUUUAAUUUUAACCAUGUUAAUUAAUUGCUUCCUCUAAUUUGCAGGCUGUUCCCAUCAAGAUUGGAGCAUGGGGUGGGGACGGAGGGACGGAGUUUGAUGUCACAGAGCCACCCAAGCGCCUUCAAAGCAUGACUAUUCGCGCUGGAGAUUCUAUUGAUUCAAUUGGAUUUUCCUACAUUGAUGAAGCAGGCAAGAAGCACAGUGAAGGUCCAUUUGGCGGUACCGGUGGGCAACUUACAACGGUACCGAGCUAACUGUCGAGGCUCUUGCAGUCAAUCUAGUAUGUUGUUCUGUGUUAUACAGAGAAUGCAGUAACGCAGCUAACAUUUUUCCCCCCGUGCAGAUAAAGUUCGCACCAUUGGAGUAUGUGAAGAAGUUUUCUGGAACGAUUGGGCGAGCUGUUGGCUCUGGGGAAAUGUUGUUUGUAGCGUCGCUAGAGAUUGAAACAAACGUCAAAAAGUAUGGGCCAUACGGAAAAGAGGACAACGACUAUCCAUUCAGCAUCCCGUUGCCAGAGAAUACUAGUGUCGUGGGAUUUUUCGGACGUGCAGGGAGGCUCAUUGAUGCUGUUGGUGUUUACAUAUAUUAUUGCAAAUCCCCUCUCAUUGAUGCAACUGAAGAAACCUCAGGUAACAAAGAUGAAGAAACCUCAAAGAACAAAGACACCACUUCCGCACCACCACUCACCAUCACUGGACAGGUAUUGUGCCCUUUGCUAGUCAUUACCUACCUUGCAUUGUCAUUCACUAUUCAUACCUUAGCUUUAUACGUGCAACUAACUUUCUCUUUGAAAAAAAUGCUGCUUCAUCUAUAAUUUACAGACCUCUCCUAUCAUGAUUGGAAUGUGGGGUGGGGAUGGAGGGGAGGAGUUUGAUGUCACAGAGCCACCGAAGCGCCUCGACAGCGUGAUGAUUCGAGCUGGUGAAAUCAUCGAUUCAUUUGGCUUUUCCUAUAUUGAUCAAGCUGGUCAGAAGCACACUCUAGGUCCAUAUGGUGGGAAGGGUGGGAAGCUUACCACGGUAAAUAACAUUGCAUGCUGUAUGUCUCUUGCAUUUACUAAAAGUAGCAUAGAGGUCUAGUAACCU